This 1541-nucleotide ribosomal RNA is filed under the name Salmonella enterica subsp. enterica. Its description in RNAcentral is "bacterial SSU rRNA". It matches the Rfam family "Bacterial small subunit ribosomal RNA". Lineage: Bacteria; Pseudomonadati; Pseudomonadota; Gammaproteobacteria; Enterobacterales; Enterobacteriaceae. The record is from RNAcentral.
AAAUUGAAGAGUUUGAUCAUGGCUCAGAUUGAACGCUGGCGGCAGGCCUAACACAUGCAAGUCGAACGGUAACAGGAAGCAGCUUGCUGCUUUGCUGACGAGUGGCGGACGGGUGAGUAAUGUCUGGGAAACUGCCUGAUGGAGGGGGAUAACUACUGGAAACGGUGGCUAAUACCGCAUAACGUCGCAAGACCAAAGAGGGGGACCUUCGGGCCUCUUGCCAUCAGAUGUGCCCAGAUGGGAUUAGCUUGUUGGUGAGGUAACGGCUCACCAAGGCGACGAUCCCUAGCUGGUCUGAGAGGAUGACCAGCCACACUGGAACUGAGACACGGUCCAGACUCCUACGGGAGGCAGCAGUGGGGAAUAUUGCACAAUGGGCGCAAGCCUGAUGCAGCCAUGCCGCGUGUAUGAAGAAGGCCUUCGGGUUGUAAAGUACUUUCAGCGGGGAGGAAGGUGUUGUGGUUAAUAACCGCAGCAAUUGACGUUACCUGCAGAAGAAGCACCGGCUAACUCCGUGCCAGCAGCCGCGGUAAUACGGAGGGUGCAAGCGUUAAUCGGAAUUACUGGGCGUAAAGCGCACGCAGGCGGUCUGUCAAGUCGGAUGUGAAAUCCCCGGGCUCAACCUGGGAACUGCAUUCGAAACUGGCAGGCUUGAGUCUUGUAGAGGGGGUAGAAUUCCAGGUGUAGCGGUGAAAUGCGUAGAGAUCUGGAGGAAUACCGGUGGCGAAGGCGGCCCCCUGGACAAAGACUGACGCUCAGGUGCGAAAGCGUGGGGAGCAAACAGGAUUAGAUACCCUGGUAGUCCACGCCGUAAACGAUGUCUACUUGGAGGUUGUGCCCUUGAGGCGUGGCUUCCGGAGCUAACGCGUUAAGUAGACCGCCUGGGGAGUACGGCCGCAAGGUUAAAACUCAAAUGAAUUGACGGGGGCCCGCACAAGCGGUGGAGUAUGUGGUUUAAUUCGAUGCAACGCGAAGAACCUUACCUGGUCUUGACAUCCACAGAAGAAUCCAGAGAUGGAUUUGUGCCUUCGGGAACUGUGAGACAGGUGCUGCAUGGCUGUCGUCAGCUCGUGUUGUGAAAUGUUGGGUUAAGUCCCGCAACGAGCGCAACCCUUAUCCUUUGUUGCCAGCGAUUAGGUCGGGAACUCAAAGGAGACUGCCAGUGAUAAACUGGAGGAAGGUGGGGAUGACGUCAAGUCAUCAUGGCCCUUACGACCAGGGCUACACACGUGCUACAAUGGCGCAUACAAAGAGAAGCGACCUCGCGAGAGCAAGCGGACCUCAUAAAGUGCGUCGUAGUCCGGAUUGGAGUCUGCAACUCGACUCCAUGAAGUCGGAAUCGCUAGUAAUCGUGGAUCAGAAUGCCACGGUGAAUACGUUCCCGGGCCUUGUACACACCGCCCGUCACACCAUGGGAGUGGGUUGCAAAAGAAGUAGGUAGCUUAACCUUCGGGAGGGCGCUUACCACUUUGUGAUUCAUGACUGGGGUGAAGUCGUAACAAGGUAACCGUAGGGGAACCUGCGGUUGGAUCACCUCCUUA